Molecule: unclassified non-coding RNA, 253 nt
Filed under: Hevea brasiliensis (rubber tree)
Lineage: Eukaryota; Viridiplantae; Streptophyta; Magnoliopsida; Malpighiales; Euphorbiaceae
Source: RNAcentral
AAUGAGAAGAGUGUAUUGAUCAUCAUUCUUCCAUCUGUUGCCAUCAUAAUCAACACCAACAUUCAACAUUAAUAUGGAAGUAAAGGUCCAAAACUGUAUGCCUUGUGCUUUGACAUUAUCACGCAAGAAACUGAUUUUUCAUUGCAUAGAGGAAAGAUUUUAGGCCUUCAACUCAAUGUUAGUUAACCAUAACCCUCUUGAUUUGUGGACAACUACUGGAGGGAAAACGUACGGAUGUGCAAGCGAAUAGGAA